UCCCUGGUGGCUCAGUGGUAAAGAAUCUGCCUGCCCAUGCAGGAGACACGGGUUCAAUCCCUGAUCUGGGAA
This 72-nucleotide transfer RNA is filed under the name Bos taurus (domestic cattle). It matches the Rfam family "tRNA". From Rfam's summary of the family: Transfer RNA (tRNA) molecules are approximately 80 nucleotides in length. Their secondary structure includes four short double-helical elements and three loops (D, anti-codon, and T loops). The record is from Rfam by way of RNAcentral. RNAcentral also lists the same sequence under 5 other names. Lineage: Eukaryota; Metazoa; Chordata; Mammalia; Artiodactyla; Bovidae.